RNAcentral lists this ribosomal RNA (187 nucleotides) under uncultured rumen bacterium. RNAcentral describes it as "partial 16S ribosomal RNA". It matches the Rfam family "Bacterial small subunit ribosomal RNA", at positions 340 to 524 of the family's 1533-position model. The record is from RNAcentral.
UACGGGAGGCAGCAGUGAGGAAUAUUGGUCAAUGGGCGCGAGCCUGAACCAGCCAAGUCGCGUGAAGGAUGAAGGUUCUAUGGAUUGUAAACUUCUUUUGUCUGAGGGUAAAGUGUGCCACGUGUGGCAUUUUGUAUGUACCUUACGAAUAAGCAUCGGCUAAUUCCGUGCCAGCAGCCGCGGUAAU